RNAcentral lists this unclassified non-coding RNA (620 nucleotides) under Hevea brasiliensis (rubber tree). The record is from RNAcentral. Lineage: Eukaryota; Viridiplantae; Streptophyta; Magnoliopsida; Malpighiales; Euphorbiaceae.
GUGCAAAGGCAGCUUUAUAGAGAUGCUCAGCAAGACUUGCUCACCCCAUUUACACAUAUGCAUUACUUUUCUCUCUAAAUGCUCAAUAUACAAGAAUGACUAUUCAAAUGCAUAUUUGCUAACUAAAAGGAGUAAAAUUGUUGAAACUAUGCAAAGCAAUAAAAAUAAUGAAACUGUUCCAGAGGCUACCAUUAACUUUCAAUACAACCAUUCAUAAAUAAGCCAACAACAACACUAUCCUUAAUAACACAAGUAUCAAACGAAAUAAAGAGAAGCCAAAUCCACAAUGUGAAACGUGUUCACCUAAAUAAUGAAACUACAUGUGAUAUCCUCAACCAAAUGGCUGCUUUAGAAGGCAAAAGUUUCAGCCACCAGCAUACACUCAAUUGGCUUAUUAAUGAUUGGGGCAUUUAACCUAAGCAGCAACCAUAUCAUUCCGAAAACACAACAAAAUCGCGCACUAAAAGCCACUUUCAUCAACUAUGAAAAAGAAAUCAACAGGAGGCACAUUCAGAUAUCUACAAUCAAUGAUAUUUCAAUUCAAUAGAAAUAACAAAUUAAAACUUCAUUCAUUCAAGCAAGCAGAGUACACAGACAAAAUGCAUUCAAAAUCUAACGAA